GCCAGCAUGAUAUAGUGGUUUGAGCGUUAGACUAUGACUCUGGAAACCAGGGUUCGAAUUCCUUCUUGGCC
RNAcentral lists this transfer RNA (71 nucleotides) under Phrynosoma platyrhinos (Desert horned lizard). RNAcentral's name for it is "tRNA-OTHER". Lineage: Eukaryota; Metazoa; Chordata; Lepidosauria; Squamata; Phrynosomatidae. The record is from RNAcentral.